RNAcentral lists this ribosomal RNA (428 nucleotides) under uncultured Bacillota bacterium. Its description in RNAcentral is "bacterial SSU rRNA". It matches the Rfam family "Bacterial small subunit ribosomal RNA", at positions 958 to 1385 of the family's 1533-position model. Lineage: Bacteria; Bacillati; Bacillota. The record is from RNAcentral.
AACGCGAAGAACCUUACCAGGUCUUGACAUCCUCUGACAAUCCUAGAGAUAGGACGUUCCCCUUCGGGGGACAGAGUGACAGGUGGUGCAUGGUUGUCGUCAGCUCGUGUCGUGAGAUGUUGGGUUAAGUCCCGCAACGAGCGCAACCCUUGUCCUUAGUUGCCAGCAUUUAGUUGGGCACUCUAAGGAGACUGCCGGUGACAAACCGGAGGAAGGUGGGGAUGACGUCAAAUCAUCAUGCCCCUUAUGACCUGGGCUACACACGUGCUACAAUGGAUGGUACAAAGGGUUGCGAGACCGCGAGGUUUAGCCAAUCCCAUAAAACCAUUCUCAGUUCGGAUUGUAGGCUGCAACUCGCCUACAUGAAGCCGGAAUCGCUAGUAAUCGUGGAUCAGCAUGCCACGGUGAAUACGUUCCCGGGCCUUGUA